RNAcentral lists this ribosomal RNA (274 nucleotides) under uncultured bacterium. RNAcentral describes it as "partial 16S ribosomal RNA". It matches the Rfam family "Bacterial small subunit ribosomal RNA", at positions 523 to 796 of the family's 1533-position model. The record is from RNAcentral.
AUACGGAGGGGGCUAGCGUUGUUCGGAAUUACUGGGCGUAAAGCGCACGUAGGCGGAUUAAAAAGUUAGAGGUGAAAUCCCAGGGCUUAACCCUGGAACUGCCUUUAAAACUAGUAGUCUAGAGUUCGAGAGAGGUGAGUGGAAUUCCAAGUGUAGAGGUGAAAUUCGUAGAUAUUUGGAGGAACACCAGUGGCGAAGGCGGCUCACUGGCUCGAUACUGACGCUGAGGUGCGAAAGCGUGGGUAGCAAACGGGAUUAGAAACCCCAGUAGUCC